RNAcentral lists this ribosomal RNA (441 nucleotides) under Geobacillus stearothermophilus. Its description in RNAcentral is "bacterial SSU rRNA". It matches the Rfam family "Bacterial small subunit ribosomal RNA", at positions 225 to 657 of the family's 1533-position model. Lineage: Bacteria; Bacillati; Bacillota; Bacilli; Caryophanales; Anoxybacillaceae. The record is from RNAcentral.
AUGGGCCCGCGGCGCAUUAGCUAGUUGGUGAGGUAACGGCUCACCAAGGCGACGAUGCGUAGCCGGCCUGAGAGGGUGACCGGCCACACUGGGACUGAGACACGGCCCAGACUCCUACGGGAGGCAGCAGUAGGGAAUCUUCCGCAAUGGGCGAAAGCCUGACGGAGCGACGCCGCGUGAGCGAAGAAGGCCUUCGGGUCGUAAAGCUCUGUUGUGAGGGGCGAAGGAGCGCCGUUCGAAGAGGGCGGCGCGGUGACGGUACCUCACGAGAAAGCCCCGGCUAACUACGUGCCAGCAGCCGCGGUAAUACGUAGGGGGCGAGCGUUGUCCGGAAUUAUUGGGCGUAAAGCGCGCGCAGGCGGUCUCUUAAGUCUGAUGUGAAAGCCCACGGCUCAACCGUGGAGGGUCAUUGGAAACUGGGGGACUUGAGGGCAGGAGAGG